This 448-nucleotide ribosomal RNA is filed under the name uncultured bacterium. Its description in RNAcentral is "bacterial SSU rRNA". It matches the Rfam family "Bacterial small subunit ribosomal RNA", at positions 355 to 825 of the family's 1533-position model. The record is from RNAcentral.
UGGGGAAUAUUGGACAAUGGGCGCAAGCCUGAUCCAGCCAUGCCGCGUGAGUGACGAAGGCCUUAGGGUUGUAAAGCUCUUUUUGGCGGGGAAGAUAAUGACGGUACCCGCAGAAUAAGCUCCGGCUAACUUCGUGCCAGCAGCCGCGGUAAUACGAAGGGAGCUAGCGUUGUUCGGAAUCACUGGGCGUAAAGCGCACGUAGGUGGGCAGUUAAGUCAGGGGUGAAAGCCCGAGGCUCAACCUCGGAAUUGCCUCUGAUACUGGCUGUCUAGAGUUCGAGAGGGGUGAGUGGAAUUCCUAGUGUAGAGGUGAAAUUCGUAGAUAUUAGGAAGAACACCGGUGGCGAAGGCGGCUCACUGGCUCGAUACUGACACUGAGGUGCGAAAGCGUGGGGAGCAAACAGGAUUAGAUACCCACGUAGUCCCUGAGCGGGCUGGCAAGGCGCAU